Molecule: long non-coding RNA, 619 nt
Filed under: Homo sapiens (human)
Lineage: Eukaryota; Metazoa; Chordata; Mammalia; Primates; Hominidae
Description: non-protein coding lnc-CDK20-1:1
Source: RNAcentral
GUUAACAGGAAGACCCAACUUAAACAGUGUGCGAGAGGCCACAGGCUUAACAGAAAGAAUCAGGAGAGGCCAAUGUUUUUGUUAAUCAUUUAUACAUUCUUGAGUCAUAACCUACACAUAACUUCUAUCCUAUCUGUGACCUUUUGCAGAACUGCAAAAUCAGAGGAAGAAAAAUAAUUGGAUGUUUUUCAGCCAGAUAUGUUUCAAGAUUUAGAAAAAUUUCAGAAUGUAGCAAUGCAAAGGAUAGACCAGAGCUGAUCUAGAACAUAAUCGUUACAUAUUUGGACGAGUCGAGAGAGAACCCACCAGACGAGAAAGAACAUCUGGGCUGAAAGGCUCCAUUAGAAGAGCAAUGUGGAAUGAUGCUGUGCUGGCAACUGGUAGUCCCUGCCCUACAUCUUUGCAGAGGACUGGAGCCCAGAGUGGGCCAUGGUCAACUUAUAUGUUGAAGUGAAGACCUCCUUCUAGGUGUGCAUGUGCUUAUUACAGAUAUGCCACCAUGCUAAGUACCCCCGGGCUACAGGAAAAAAUAAGAAUACACGCUGUAUCCAUGAUCAGGAGGCACACAGGCCAGAGCACCAGCUGUGGAAUCGCACAACCUGGGUUCAAAGCCUGGCUG